CCUACGGGGGGCUGCAGUAGGGAAUAUUGCACAAUGGGCGAAAGCCUGAUGCAGCAACGCCGCGUGAGCGAAGAAGGCCUUCGGGUCGUAAAGCUCUUUUCUAGGGGAAGAGGAAGGACGGUACCCUAGGAACAAGUCUCGGCUAACUACGUGCCAGCAGCCGCGGUAAAACGUAGGAGGCGAGCGUUAUCCGGAUUUAUUGGGCGUAAAGGGCAAGUAGGCGGUAGGCAAAGUUGGUUGUGACAUCUCCCGGCUCAACUGGGAGGGUGCGGCCAAAACUAGCAUACUAGAGGGCAGAAGAGGGAAGUGGAAUUCCUGGUGUAGCGGUGGAAUGCUCAGAUACCAGGAGGAACACCAGUGGCGAAGGCGGCUUCCUGGUCUGCACCUGACGCUGAGAGGCGAAAGCUAGGGGAGCGAACGGGCUUAGAUACCCGAGUAGUC
Molecule: ribosomal RNA, 441 nt
Filed under: uncultured bacterium
Lineage: Bacteria
Description: bacterial SSU rRNA
Rfam family: Bacterial small subunit ribosomal RNA
Source: RNAcentral